RNAcentral lists this signal recognition particle RNA (264 nucleotides) under Dehalococcoidia bacterium. Its description in RNAcentral is "signal recognition particle sRNA large type". It matches the Rfam family "Bacterial large signal recognition particle RNA". Rfam says of the family: The signal recognition particle (SRP) is a universally conserved ribonucleoprotein involved in the co-translational targeting of proteins to membranes. Archaeal SRP consists of a 7S RNA and homologues of the eukaryotic SRP19 and SRP54 proteins. Lineage: Bacteria; Bacillati; Chloroflexota; Dehalococcoidia. The record is from RNAcentral.
UCGUGCUAGGUGGGAAGUUAGCGGUGUCCUGUACCCGAAAUCCGCUAUAGCGGGACCGAAUCCCCACUUGAGAUCCGGAUUCCGCGGGACUGUGCCUCCGGGAUGGUGUUGAGGGCCGGGUCCUGCGCGGCAGAGCGCUAUGAACCCCGUCAGGUCCGGAAGGAAGCAGCGGUAAGUAGCAUCCUCUGGGUGCCGCAGGGUUGCCUGGCCGGAGCUGUACUUGGGGCACAAGCCACGGGAUUGGGAGCGAGGGUGGGUGCACGA